This 473-nucleotide long non-coding RNA is filed under the name Helianthus annuus (common sunflower). RNAcentral's name for it is "sRNA HanXRQr2_Chr15g0694001". The record is from RNAcentral. Lineage: Eukaryota; Viridiplantae; Streptophyta; Magnoliopsida; Asterales; Asteraceae.
GCCUCACUCAAAUGAACAAAACCUCUAGAAAAAGAACUUUGAUGACUAUGAAGAUAUUCUAUUUGGUUUUUAAAGUAUGUCCUUAAAGAUGAUUUUUCACUUCCCUUUUAUGUGAUUGUAGAUUGCAUAUAUUCACCGGAAAUUCACGUUUUCACUUUGCUCUUCGCAUUCGGUCGUCUUCAUAGGCAAGAGAAUCAGAAGAUACCGACCAGAAAUUGAAGACCGACUCUGACAGAAUGUGUGACGAUUCUACGGAUCGGAUUUUGAAGACCGGCACCCUUCUUGACGGCUGAUAGGAUGCUAUGGGAUCUAAUGGAAUCAAGCUAGGACGAUGCCUAGAAAGGUCACGUAGUUAACCUAGAAACUUUGAGACAAUAUUUGCUGAUGAUGUAAUUUGAUACUUAUUGUGAUGGUUGUAUGGUUUAGACAAUGCAUGAAAUCAAUUUAAUUUCUAUCGAAAUAUUUAGUGUUAU